This 45-nucleotide non-coding RNA is filed under the name Schistosoma margrebowiei. The record is from RNAcentral. Lineage: Eukaryota; Metazoa; Platyhelminthes; Trematoda; Strigeidida; Schistosomatidae.
AUUCAGCUGACGAGUCCCAAAUAGAAGGAAACGCACAUCUUGGAU